CUACACAUCAAACACAUCAUCAUCACCAUUCGGACAUUAAUACUCUCCGAGCGGAACACACCCAAACGAAACCCAUUAAGAAUUACGCGCGCGAUGGGUUUUAGGGGAGGGCCUUUUUGGUGAAGAUUGUUUGUUUUCUUGCGGGGGAAAGUGUACAUGACGAGGAGGCUCAAAACGCCGUCGUCGAAGCAUCACUGGUCGCCACAGCAAGACUCUUCUCUUCUCACACAAUAAUCACCUGAUGUUCGUCUUCUCCUCCUCCAGCUUCAAAUACAACGACUUCGUUUCUUCUCUUGCUCUGCAACAACAACACCAGCAAUGAAGAAGAAGAAGAGAGACGUAAGCAACGGCCACAGCAGCAUCAACAUGAACAGCGUCAUCAACGUCACCCCCCUCAGCGGCGUCGUUUUCAGAACCGCCGUUCUCCGGCGACACCUCCGCCGUCUCCGCCACCACGUGUUCCCCCUCGUCUCCGCCGUCUCCGGUUGCCUCCUACUCCUCCUCGCCGCCUUCUCUCUCCUCGCUCCGUCUCCGGUUCUGCAUCACCACGAUCACCUCUCGCUCUUGCGUCACUACCAUUCCUCGGAUGACAAUGGCGUCGUUGAGGCCCGGUCGAACUCGGAUGAAACGGCCACGUUUCGUGUUCCGGAGAGUGGAGGGAGCUCAGGUCGAGAUUUAUGGAGCACAAGGAAAUCGGAUAUGUUCCACGGUUGCAGCAAUGCCGCCGAUAACUUUGCAACUGCUGAUGUGAAAACACAUUCGAAUCGCUACUUGUUGAUUGCUACUAGUGGAGGCUUAAACCAACAAAGAACAGGGAUAACUGAUGCUGUUGUUGCAGCUUAUAUCUUGAAUGCUACCCUUGUUGUUCCCAAGCUGGACCAGAAAUCAUUUUGGAAGGAUUCCAGCAACUUUGAUGAAAUCUUUGAUGUAGACUGGUUUAUAUCAUCUCUAUCAAAAGAUGUUGAAAUCAUUAAACAGCUUCCAACAAAGGGAGGAAAACCAAUGAGUCCAUAUAGCAUGCGUGUCCCAAGGAAGGGCAAAAAUGCUAACAGAAUCGUUUAGUGCCUGUUCUUAAUAAAAAUAUUGCUGUUCAGCUCACAAAGUUUGAUUACAGGCUUUCAAAUAAGUUGGAUUCAAAUUUACAAAAGCUUAGGUGUAGAGCAAAUUAUCAUGCCUUGAAGUUUACUGACCUUAUUAAUGAAAUGGGGAAAAAGUUGCUUGACAGAAUGAGGAUGAAAAGCAAGCAUUUCAUUGCCCUGCAUUUGAGGUUUGAGCCUGAUAUGCUGGCAUUUUCUGGAUGUGAUUUUGGUGGAGGAGAAAAAGAAAGGAAAGAACUUGGGAAAAUUCGGAAAAGGUGGAAAACUUUACAUGCAAGCAACCCUGACAAGGUACGAAGACAUGGCAGAUGCCCGCUAACUCCAGAGGAAGUUGGCCUUAUGCUUAGAGCACUGGGUUUUGGAAGUGAUAUUCACUUGUAUGUGGCAUCAGGUGAAGUAUAUGGAGGUGAAGAGACGUUGGCACCACUGAAGAAACUUUUCCCAAACUUCCACUCAAAAGAGACUAUAGCAAGUAAAGAGGAGUUGACACCAUUUUCAUCCUUCUCUUCUCGAAUGGCUGCACUUGACUUUAUUGUUUGUGAUGAAAGUGAUGUUUUCAUCACCAACAACAACGGCAAUAUGGCUAGAAUGUUAGCUGGUCGAAGGAGAUACUUUGGUCAUAAACCAACAAUCCGUCCAAAUGCUAAGAAACUGUCUCCGUUGUUCAUGAAUCGUAAUAACAUGACUUGGGAAGAAUUUGCCUCCAAGCUUCGAACUAGUCAAAUUGGAUUCAUGGGAGAGCCAAAUGAGAUAAAGCCUGGCAGGGGUGAGUUCCAUGAAAACCCAGCAGCCUGCAUAUGUAGAGCAUCUAGCACAAGGUCCAAUGAAGUUCCAAUUCCUCAAAAUGAAAGUUAUGACAGCCAGAACAUACAUAAGGAGGAUGACAUGAAAAAGGACAGUGGUUACGUGACAGACGAGCAAAUAACUGAGGAUGAGCAGGAUUGGUCUGAGAUUGAUUAUACGGAAAUGAAUAUGAAUCGUUCUCAGGGUAAAGUGCUGCCUAGUGUAAGAGUUUCAGAUCCAGGUCUUUUACUUAAACCUGACGAACCAGAACUUGAAGAGUUCUUUUCAGACUAGACUGAAUUAAUUAGGAGAAGACUAGACUGGAUCUCCACCUCCGCGAGUUAGCUGAUUUGUCCAAACAAAUUCAUCACCAAAAUUCUUUGCUGGUUUGUUUUGAUAGGUUACUUGUGCGCACAAGAUUGAUUUUGUUACACUGAAGGGUGGUAAUAACAAGGGCGCACAAUGUACAUAGAAGGCCUCUGUAGCAGCAGCAUCAGCAUUGGAGUAACAGAAUGGAGUCGUAAUUUAGUCAAUAUUCAGAUUUUGAAACUUGUAAAUGAAGCUACUGGAACAUCUUUUGCUCUAUUUUUUUCUCAUUUUCUCUGAUGAUUCUUGCCGUAAGGCAGGAAUGUUUAUAUGAAAUUUUUUUUUUGGUCGAAAGAAU
Molecule: RNA transcript, 2544 nt
Organism: Prunus dulcis (almond)
Lineage: Eukaryota; Viridiplantae; Streptophyta; Magnoliopsida; Rosales; Rosaceae
Gene name: protein ROOT HAIR SPECIFIC 17-like
Exons: 10
Source: RefSeq, a predicted model, not a curated record